RNAcentral lists this ribosomal RNA (467 nucleotides) under uncultured bacterium. Its description in RNAcentral is "partial 16S ribosomal RNA". It matches the Rfam family "Bacterial small subunit ribosomal RNA", at positions 28 to 506 of the family's 1533-position model. The record is from RNAcentral.
GAAGAAAGCUUGGGGCGUGCUUAACACAUGCAAGUCGAACGGAAAGGCCCUGCUUUUGUGGGGUGCUCGAGUGGCGAACGGGUGAGUAACACGUGAGUAACCUGCCCUUGACUUUGGGAUAACUUCAGGAAACUGGGGCUAAUACCGGAUAGGAGCUCCUGCUGCAUGGUGGGGGUUGGAAAGUUUCGGCGGUUGGGGAUGGACUCGCGGCUUAUCAGCUUGUUGGUGGGGUAGUGGCUUACCAAGGCUUUGACGGGUAGCCGGCCUGAGAGGGUGACCGGCCACAUUGGGACUGAGAUACGGCCCAGACUCCUACGGGAGGCAGCAGUGGGGAAUAUUGCACAAUGGGCGGAAGCCUGAUGCAGCAACGCCGCGUGCGGGAUGACGGCCUUCGGGUUGUAAACCGCUUUCGCCUGUGACGAAGCGUGAGUGACGGUAAUGGGUAAAGAAGCACCGGCUAACUACGU